CACUGUCACUCCUACGGGGAGGCAGCAGUGGGGAAUAUUGCACAAUGGGCGCAAGCCUGAUGCAGCCAUGCCGCGUGUAUGAAGAAGGCCUUCGGGUUGUAAAGUACUUUCAGUCGUGAGGAAGGCGGCGUCGUUAAUAGCGGCGUUGUUUGACGUUAGCGACAGAAGAAGCACCGGCUAACUCCGUGCCAGCAGCCGCGGUAAUACGGAGGGUGCGAGCGUUAAUCGGAAUUACUGGGCGUAAAGCGCAUGCAGGUGGUUUGUUAAGUCAGAUGUGAAAGACCCGGGGCUCAACCUCGGAAUAGCAUUUGAAACUAGGCAGACUAGAGUACUGUAGAGGGGGGUAGGAAUUUCAGGUGUAGCGGUGAAAUAGCGUAGAGAUCUGAAGGAAUACCGGUGGCGAAGGCGGCCCCCUCGGACAGAUACUGACACUCAGAUGCGAAAGCGUGGGGAGCAAACAGGAUUAGAUACCCUGGUAG
RNAcentral lists this ribosomal RNA (479 nucleotides) under uncultured bacterium. Its description in RNAcentral is "bacterial SSU rRNA". It matches the Rfam family "Bacterial small subunit ribosomal RNA", at positions 325 to 793 of the family's 1533-position model. The record is from RNAcentral.